UUCUUCCUGAUGUCCAACCUAAAUCUCCUCUCUCUCAGUUUAAAACCAUUCCCCCUUGUCCUGUCACUGCCCUCUCUGGUGACAAGUCCCUCCCCAGCUUUCCUGGAGCCCCUUCAGGCACUGGAAGCUGCUCUAAGCUCUCCCUGGAGCCUUCUCCUCUCCAGUUAAACACCCCAACUCUCCCAUCCUGUCUCCAGAGCUGCUCCACUCCUUGGAUCAUCUCCAUGGCCUCCUCUGGACUCUCUCCAGGAGCACUAUCUCUACAAAGGAAGGGAUCAACAUCUCCAAACCAAAACUAAACCAAGAACCUUCACCUUUCCA
This is a long non-coding RNA of Apus apus (common swift), 321 nucleotides long. RefSeq lists it as uncharacterized. The transcript is spliced from 2 exons. Lineage: Eukaryota; Metazoa; Chordata; Aves; Apodiformes; Apodidae. The record is from RefSeq and is a predicted model, not a curated record.